CUGGGACCACAGGGUAAAGUAAAAGCCCAUGCCACCCCAUGGUUUGGAGGAACCAAACCCCCAGCCUUUUGAGGGGUGAGACUCCUGGAAUUUUCGUCCCGUGCCUUCGUGGGGAUUUCUCCUGUAUUUAGUAUUUGUUCACCCGACACAGACUUGCAGAGCCUAAUGCAUUCCAGACACUGCGCUGAGUGCCAGGAAUAAAGAAACAUCUGUACCUGGUACAGUCUGGCUGGGGCAAGAAACCACCAACAUGAUAAGCAAAUGAAUGUAUAAUGUAACAGAACAUGGGUUGUGCCCUGAAGAAAAAUAAAGACUGACCAGGAAAGGGGAUGGGAGUGGGGAGAAAAACCAUAUUAAACUGAAUUAUACCUUCCACCUUACCU
RNAcentral lists this long non-coding RNA (383 nucleotides) under Homo sapiens (human). RNAcentral's name for it is "HSALNT0273558". The record is from RNAcentral. Lineage: Eukaryota; Metazoa; Chordata; Mammalia; Primates; Hominidae.